AAGUUAUCACGAAAGGCGGAGGGAAAGACCCAAUGAAACCUUAGCAACCCUUUAUCUUUAAAGAAGGUGCUACAUUCUACUUUAAACUACAAUUUUUUAGUUUCUAAGAUAGAUAACAU
This 119-nucleotide non-coding RNA is filed under the name Flavobacterium sp. RNAcentral's name for it is "SAM-I sequence". It matches the Rfam family "SAM riboswitch aptamer (S box leader)". Rfam says of the family: The SAM riboswitch is found upstream of a number of genes which code for proteins involved in methionine or cysteine biosynthesis in Gram-positive bacteria. The SAM riboswitch acts at the level of transcription termination control. The predicted structure consists of a complex stem-loop region followed by a single stem loop terminator region. The record is from RNAcentral. RNAcentral also lists the same sequence under 1 other name. Lineage: Bacteria; Pseudomonadati; Bacteroidota; Flavobacteriia; Flavobacteriales; Flavobacteriaceae.